UGAGGGGGAAGUUGCAAAGAAAGAGAGAGUUCAAGAGUACGUGAAACUGCUCGGAAGACAACGGGUGGAUCCUCGAAGUCCGAGCGGAGCAUUGGCCUGCACCUUUUCGCACCCAGGUGCAUGGCGUUCGGGUGACGCGGUUUCCUCGGCGGCCGUGGAUGUACUCUCGAUGGAUGCCGCAGUUGGACCUGCGAUGGCAGAAGGUACUUGUCGGGAGAAGGCGCAAGUUGGGGUCCAGCACCUCGGCUGCGAUUCUGUACCGGCCGCGCUACCGGUCCGAAGAAAUGAACCCGCUUUGGCGGGUGCGCCGCGGUCUCGCACGAUAAAGCAAAGCGGGGGAGCGGUCCGGUCCUGUCAGCCUGGUCGUCCACGGGAGGUCGUGGGCGAACAACGAGGGUGUUGCAAUAGAAAGCGACCCACCCGCGAGGCGUGCCGACGGUUUGCGGCGAGUAGGUCGGUAACCCACCCAACCCGUCUUAAAACACGGACCAAGGUGUCCGACUCGUGCGCGAGUCAGUGGGGCUCGAUUAAGCCUACAGGCGCGAUAAAAUUGAAAAAGACGUCGCGAUCCCACAGCUCAGGCUCGGGUGCAGCGACGAACCGGCAGAGAGGCGGCAUGCCGCCACUGUCGGAGUAGGAGCGCACGGGUUUUGCCCCGAAAGAUGGUAAACUAUACCCGGGCAGGUCGAAGCCAGAGGAAACUGUGGUGGAGGACCGCAGCGGUUCUGACGAUCGUCUAACCUAGGA
This 747-nucleotide ribosomal RNA is filed under the name Panjange sp. Ind109. RNAcentral's name for it is "partial 28S ribosomal RNA". It matches the Rfam family "Eukaryotic large subunit ribosomal RNA", at positions 354 to 916 of the family's 3401-position model. The record is from RNAcentral. Lineage: Eukaryota; Metazoa; Arthropoda; Arachnida; Araneae; Pholcidae.